AUUUAUGCAAGUAAUUAAGGAUGUUGUUAGUCACCUUUGCAACAGCCACAGUGUAUUGGUAUCGGAGCCGGUUACGUCAUAAAGGGAGUGCUGCAACCAGUGAACCGCCACGGCUUCCGUCUUGCUGACGUUGAGUCUCUCGGGUUCCAAGUUACCCACUUUAUCUGCAACGGGGCAAAACUCGAAUGGUAUUCCCAGUUUGUCUGCAAAAUCAGAUAAACGUUUACCGGUGGCUUCCAGGGCCUCUAAGGAGGUUCCAAGUCCGGUGAGGCGUACGUGCGGUGGGCCACCGGGUCUGGAAGCGAGAAUGUGGAACAGUCCGGGCCAUUGCAGGCCUUGCAUUAUGUCAAGAUCUAUAAUGUGCACUCUCUCCUCCCUUUCGAACGCUUCUUGUAUGGC
RNAcentral lists this long non-coding RNA (399 nucleotides) under Gossypium barbadense (sea-island cotton). RNAcentral describes it as "long non-coding RNA (GBAR_LNC008609)". The record is from RNAcentral. Lineage: Eukaryota; Viridiplantae; Streptophyta; Magnoliopsida; Malvales; Malvaceae.